UUUCCCUCUUCACUCUUCUCCCCCCCCCCCUUCUUUAUUUCUGCUGUUCAUUCAUUUCAUAAUGCGAGCGUAUCCCGUUUGCGGGGGAAGGAAUAUGCAGUGAGGGCGGGCUUCGUAUCAGCUUGAAGGAAACCCGCAAGAUGACAUCUUUCUCUGUGUGUGUGUCUGCCUCGUACGCAUUCCGUGUGGGUGAGUGAUUUCUAUGCUUUCCUUUGUCAACUGAACAUUUCUCUUGCCCCUUGACUUUAUUUCGUUGUCUGUUCGACCUUGAACUUCACAUUUUCUUUCCAACUCCUGAUCUGGUUGCUCUGUGCCACCCUAUAGUGGCUCAGUCUUACAUCUCUGAUUAAUAAUUAGUUUAAUAGGGCAGUUCUCGCCACACAAGAUUUCUUCGUCUUUCUUCAUUUAUAUUCCUUCCUUGCCACACCAACACACACACACAAUAUGUUCACUCUCUGGCUUUAUAGGCAGUGCGAUGAAAAACAGUGCAUAUAUAUUUAUCAAAAAAAAAAAAAGAGGUUACAUGACAACAAAUCUGUAAUUGGAUCUGAUGACAAGAUUUGAGAAUUAAUAGUGAGGUGAACAAGGAUCGAUUGGAAGAAUUUUGUAAAGAGCUUGAAUAUUUUUAACCUUAUCAUAUUUUUUGUUAAAUAAACCAAAUCAAAGUUGCACCAUUUGGUCAUAAUAUAAGCAAGUUUAUAUGGAGAGGUGGAAACGUAAGUAUUAAGGUCGAGCAGGCGGCGAAAUUGAGUUUUCGGCAAGAACUGUUUGCUUGACAAAGGUUCUAGCGCGGAAAUCAAUCAUCAGUGCCAUCAUUCGUAUGCUCUCCUUCAGCACUACCAUCCAUUCAUUUCUGAAGCACAAAGACGAAUGGUUCAAGAGAAGGAAAUGCUCCCUGAUAAAACUUAGAGUUCAAAUUAGACGACUACGAGGAAUGCUAAGUAUAUAUGUUGUAAAACAAAAGAAAAAGCGGGAAAUUAAGGGUCAUAUGGGUUAUGAAAUUGUCCAGUUACGUUGUAACUUAGUGAGAAAAGACCAGGAACAGGCACUGAACCGAUCCCUCACAGGAGUAUUUCGAUGUGCAAUUUAGUUAUCUUUUCUUAAAGCUCUUGUAUUGCAGCAAAGUAAAUUUAUUUUCUUCUUCAUGUUAAAUCACUAUUGAACUUCCAUAGUCUUGUUCUCCUGAGUAAAAUAAUUUUUUUAAUGACAAGGGCACGGCCAAAAUAAACCGUGCAGAGAGGAAAAUGAAAUUUUAUCACCUAGCUAGUAGUGGCAAAUAUUGAUAAAACUUAUUGUUUAAUUUAUAUAAAUAUAUAUAUCAUUUUAUCAACCAAAUUACUUGUAUAUUAUGCCAGCCAGUCCUUAUGUGUAUAUGUGUGCCCCUUGCUUGCCAUCCAUUUGUACGUAAUGGUCUCUUUUGAUUUAAGACUAGCCUCAUUAAUUGAGGAGUAAAGGUAGGUUUGUUAUCAAGAAUACUAAAGGAAGCUACAACAAACUGCAUGCUCUUGCAAUUUGUUAUAGCUGUACUACUACUCAUAUCUAUAAUAUUCUUGCAGACACUAUUUUCAAAGCUCAGAAAUUUACCGUAAAUAUUGGAGGAUUUUCUCUCACGGGAAAUAAAACAAAUGCAGAUCGAACAGUUCAUUUAUAUGCUCUGGCUUUAUGCAGAUUGUCUCACAAGCUUAAUUGUCUUUCUGCAAUCGGUCAUAUGCAUGUAUUCACCUCCAGUUCAGUUCAUGUUGUCCUGUAAAUUGUGUUACGUAUGGUACGGUUUUGUGUGAAAAAUGCGAGCAGAAGAUCGAAGAGCACGUGGGAAGAAGGGAAAACGUGGCGGGCUGGCUUGGCUAACUAUAUGGAAUGGGAAGCAUAUUGCAUAAAUGAUCUGCGCAAAUACACACUCUUUAUUAAACUUCCAUCAUUUCAUUGCUGGUCAAAAGAAAGAAAAGAAAGAAUUCUUCAUUUUUCAUUCAGUUGUUGGGUGCUUAGAACAUUCUAGAUAAAUAUUUGUCCCGUCCGGUUCCUACCCUUCUUCCAGUGGUUACUUAUGCGCGCGCGCGCACACAAUAUCUCCGACCUAACUCUCUCCUUAUCAUCCAGACUUGUAGGUGAAGGACAGUUCCUUACUUUGAUCCCUCCUUAAUUAAUUUCUGCCGACACCUAACUUAAAUGUAUAUCCUAUGACCCAUGCAACCUUAUAUGCACCAUCACUUAAUUUCCUCCGCCACCUCAUCGCUUCUCUUUAUUUUCUUUCCCUUUAUACCCAACUUACAAUCAAUUAUACCAUGGUUAAAUAUUCCGCCACGCUUAAUUUUAUCUGAAGUAUCGUUUAUACAUUCAGUUGCGUCUGUUUGUUCAA
Neltuma alba is the source of this 2356-nucleotide long non-coding RNA. RefSeq lists it as uncharacterized. The transcript has 2 exons. Lineage: Eukaryota; Viridiplantae; Streptophyta; Magnoliopsida; Fabales; Fabaceae. The record is from RefSeq and is a predicted model, not a curated record.